GGUUAAGCGACUAAGCGUACACGGUGGAUGCCCUGGCAGUCAGAGGCGAUGAAGGACGUGCUAAUCUGCGAAAAGCGUCGGUAAGGUGAUAUGAACCGUUACAGCCGGCGAUGUCCGAAUGGGGAAACCCAGUGCAAUUCGUUGCACUAUCGUUAACUGAAUACAUAGGUUAACGAGGCGAACCGGGGGAACUGAAACAUCUAAGUACCCCGAGGAAAAGAAAUCAACCGAGAUUCCCCCAGUAGCGGCGAGCGAACGGGGAGCAGCCCAGAGUCUGAAUCAGCUUGUGUGUUAGUGGAACGGUCUGGAAAGUCCGACGGUACAGGGUGAUAGUCCCGUACACCAAAAUGCACAGGCUGUGAACUCGAAGAGUAGGGCGGGACACGUGGUAUCCUGUCUGAAUAUGGGGGGACCAUCCUCCAAGGCUAAAUACUCCUGACUGACCGAUAGUGAACCAGUACCGUGAGGGAAAGGCGAAAAGAACCCCGGCGAGGGGAGUGAAAAAGAACCUGAAACCGUGUACGUACAAGCAGUGGGAGCACCUUCGGGUGUGACUGCGUACCUUUUGUAUAAUGGGUCAGCGACUUAUAUUCUGUAGCAAGGUUAACCGUAUAGGGGAGCCGCAGGGAAACCGAGUCUUAACUGGGCGUUAAGUUGCAGGGUAUAGACCCGAAACCCGGUGAUCUAGCCAUGGGCAGGUUGAAGGUUGGGUAACACUAACUGGAGGACCGAACCGACUAAUGUUGAAAAAUUAGCGGAUGACUUGUGGCUGGGGGUGAAAGGCCAAUCAAACCGGGAGAUAGCUGGUUCUCCCCGAAAGCUAUUUAGGUAGCGCCUCGUGAACUCAUCUUCGGGGGUAGAGCACUGUUUCGGCUAGGGGGUCAUCCCGACUUACCAACCCGAUGCAAACUACGAAUACCGAAGAAUGUUAUCACGGGAGACACACGGCGGGUGCUAACGUCCGUCGUGAAGAGGGAAACAACCCAGACCGCCAGCUAAGGUCCCAAAGUCAUGGUUAAGUGGGAAACGAUGUGGGAAGGCACAGACAGCCAGGAUGUUGGCUUAGAAGCAGCCAUCAUUUAAAGAAAGCGUAAUAGCUCACUGGUCGAGUCGGCCUGCGCGGAAGAUGUAACGGGGCUAAACCAUGCACCGAAGCUGCGGCAGCGACACUAUGUGUUGUUGGGUAGGGGAGCGUUCUGUAAGCCUGCGAAGGUGACCUGUGAGGGUUGCUGGAGGUAUCAGAAGUGCGAAUGCUGACAUAAGUAACGAUAAAGCGGGUGAAAAGCCCGCUCGCCGGAAGACCAAGGGUUCCUGUCCAACGUUAAUCGGGGCAGGGUGAGUCGACCCCUAAGGCGAGGCCGAAAGGCGUAGUCGAUGGGAAACAGGUUAAUAUUCCUGUACUUGGUGUUACUGCGAAGGGGGGACGGAGAAGGCUAUGUUAGCCGGGCGACGGUUGUCCCGGUUUAAGCAUGUAGGCUGAUUGUCCAGGCAAAUCCGGAUAAUCAAGGCUGAGGUGUGAUGACGAGGCACUACGGUGCUGAAGUAACAAAUGCCCUGCUUCCAGGAAAAGCCUCUAAGCAUCAGGUAACAUCAAAUCGUACCCCAAACCGACACAGGUGGUCAGGUAGAGAAUACCAAGGCGCUUGAGAGAACUCGGGUGAAGGAACUAGGCAAAAUGGUGCCGUAACUUCGGGAGAAGGCACGCUGGUGUGUAGGUGAAGUCCCUGCGGAUGGAGCUGAGACCAGUCGAAGAUACCAGCUGGCUGCAACUGUUUAUUAAAAACACAGCACUGUGCAAACACGAAAGUGGACGUAUACGGUGUGACGCCUGCCCGGUGCCGGAAGGUUAAUUGAUGGGGUUAUCCGUAAGGAGAAGCUCUUGAUCGAAGCCCCGGUAAACGGCGGCCGUAACUAUAACGGUCCUAAGGUAGCGAAAUUCCUUGUCGGGUAAGUUCCGACCUGCACGAAUGGCGUAAUGAUGGCCAGGCUGUCUCCACCCGAGACUCAGUGAAAUUGAACUCGCUGUGAAGAUGCAGUGUACCCGCGGCAAGACGGAAAGACCCCGUGAACCUUUACUAUAGCUUGACACUGAACAUUGAGCCUUGAUGUGUAGGAUAGGUGGGAGGCUUUGAAGCGUGGACGCCAGUCUGCGUGGAGCCAACCUUGAAAUACCACCCUUUAAUGUUUGAUGUUCUAACGUUGGCCCCUUACCGGGGUUGCGGACAGUGUCUGGUGGGUAGUUUGACUGGGGCGGUCUCCUCCCAAAGCGUAACGGAGGAGCACGAAGGUUAGCUAAUCCUGGUCGGACAUCAGGAGGUUAGUGCAAUGGCAUAAGCUAGCUUGACUGCGAGCGUGACGGCGCGAGCAGGUGCGAAAGCAGGUCAUAGUGAUCCGGUGGUUCUGAAUGGAAGGGCCAUCGCUCAACGGAUAAAAGGUACUCCGGGGAUAACAGGCUGAUACCGCCCAAGAGUUCAUAUCGACGGCGGUGUUUGGCACCUCGAUGUCGGCUCAUCACAUCCUGGGGCUGAAGUAGGUCCCAAGGGUAUGGCUGUUCGCCAUUUAAAGUGGUACGCGAGCUGGGUUUAGAACGUCGUGAGACAGUUCGGUCCCUAUCUGCCGUGGGCGCUGGAGAAUUGAGGGGGGCUGCUCCUAGUACGAGAGGACCGGAGUGGACGCAUCACUGGUGUUCGGGUUGUCAUGCCAAUGGCACUGCCCGGUAGCUAAAUGCGGAAGAGAUAAGUGCUGAAAGCAUCUAAGCACGAAACUUGCCCCGAGAUGAGUUCUCCCUGAGACUUUAAGUCUCCUGAAGGAACGUUGAAGACGACGACGUUGAUAGGCCGGGUGUGUAAGCGCAGCGAUGCGUUGAGCUAACCGGUACUAAUGAACCGUGAGGCUUAACCUU
This 2902-nucleotide ribosomal RNA is filed under the name Klebsiella pneumoniae. RNAcentral's name for it is "23S ribosomal RNA". It matches the Rfam family "Bacterial large subunit ribosomal RNA". Lineage: Bacteria; Pseudomonadati; Pseudomonadota; Gammaproteobacteria; Enterobacterales; Enterobacteriaceae. The record is from RNAcentral.